RNAcentral lists this ribosomal RNA (127 nucleotides) under Habronema muscae. RNAcentral describes it as "partial 5.8S ribosomal RNA". It matches the Rfam family "5.8S ribosomal RNA", at positions 30 to 154 of the family's 154-position model. From Rfam's summary of the family: 5.8S ribosomal RNA (5.8S rRNA) is a component of the large subunit of the eukaryotic ribosome. It is transcribed by RNA polymerase I as part of the 45S precursor that also contains 18S and 28S rRNA. The record is from RNAcentral. Lineage: Eukaryota; Metazoa; Nematoda; Chromadorea; Rhabditida; Habronematidae.
GAGUCGAUGAAGAACGCAGCUAGCUGGAUUAAAUAGUGCGAAUUGCAGACGCAUUGAGCACAAAGGUUUCGAACGUACAUUGCACCAUCGGGUUGCAUCCCGAUGGUACGUCUGGCUGAGGGUCGAU